Molecule: ribosomal RNA, 1371 nt
Filed under: uncultured bacterium
Lineage: Bacteria
Description: bacterial SSU rRNA
Rfam family: Bacterial small subunit ribosomal RNA
Source: RNAcentral
GAUGAACGCUGGCGGCGUGCCUAAUACAUGCAAGUCGAGCGAACGGACGAGAAGCUUGCUUCUCUGAUGUUAGCGGCGGACGGGUGAGUAACACGUGGAUAACCUACCUAUAAGACUGGGAUAACUUCGGGAAACCGGAGCUAAUACCGGAUAAUAUUUUGAACCGCAUGGUUCAAAAGUGAAAGACGGUCUUGCUGUCACUUAUAGAUGGAUCCGCGCUGCAUUAGCUAGUUGGUAAGGUAACGGCUUACCAAGGCAACGAUGCAUAGCCGACCUGAGAGGGUGAUCGGCCACACUGGAACUGAGACACGGUCCAGACUCCUACGGGAGGCAGCAGUAGGGAAUCUUCCGCAAUGGGCGAAAGCCUGACGGAGCAACGCCGCGUGAGUGAUGAAGGUCUUCGGAUCGUAAAACUCUGUUAUUAGGGAAGAACAUAUGUGUAAGUAACUGUGCACAUCUUGACGGUACCUAAUCAGAAAGCCACGGCUAACUACGUGCCAGCAGCCGCGGUAAUACGUAGGUGGCAAGCGUUAUCCCGGAUUAUUGGGCGUAAAGCGCGCGUAGGCGGUUUUUUAGUCUGAUGUGAAAGCCCACGGCUCAACCGUGGAGGGUCAUUGGAAACUGGAAAACUUGAGUGCAGAAGAGGAAAGUGGAAUUCCAUGUGUAGCGGUGAAAUGCGCAGAGAUAUGGAGGAACACCAGUGGCGAAGGCGACUUUCUGGUCUGUAACUGACGCUGAUGUGCGAAAGCGUGGGGAUCAAACAGGAUUAGAUACCCUGGUAGUCCACGCCGUAAACGAUGAGUGCUAAGUGUUAGGGGGUUUCCGCCCCUUAGUGCUGCAGCUAACGCAUUAAGCACUCCGCCUGGGGAGUACGACCGCAAGGUUGAAACUCAAAGGAAUUGACGGGGACCCGCACAAGCGGUGGAGCAUGUGGUUUAAUUCGAAGCAACGCGAAGAACCUUACCAAAUCUUGACAUCCUUUGACAACUCUAGAGAUAGAGCCUUCCCCUUCGGGGGACAAAGUGACAGGUGGUGCAUGGUUGUCGUCAGCUCGUGUCGUGAGAUGUUGGGUUAAGUCCCGCAACGAGCGCAACCCUUAAGCUUAGUUGCCAUCAUUAAGUUGGGCACUCUAAGUUGACUGCCGGUGACAAACCGGAGGAAGGUGGGGAUGACGUCAAAUCAUCAUGCCCCUUAUGAUUUGGGCUACACACGUGCUACAAUGGACAAUACAAAGGGCAGCGAAACCGCGAGGUCAAGCAAAUCCCAUAAAGUUGUUCUCAGUUCGGAUUGUAGUCUGCAACUCGACUACAUGAAGCUGGAAUCGCUAGUAAUCGUAGAUCAGCAUGCUACGGUGAAUACGUUCCCGGGUCU